Non-coding RNA from Myotis davidii, 75 nucleotides. The record is from Rfam. Lineage: Eukaryota; Metazoa; Chordata; Mammalia; Chiroptera; Vespertilionidae.
GGCGGUUCUCGGGUGAUGCACCCUGGAUUUGGGCUUCCUCCUCUCUGGUUCCGGCUGUGUCACCAGGAAACCGCA